CCCCCCUCCUCUCCCGGGUCUCUCUCCCUCUCUUCUCUCUUUCUCAGACUCUCGAGCGCCGGCCCCAGGAUGACAAUCACAUCCCAGGCGCGCCGAUCUUUUCCAACUUUCCUUCCCAGCUAAGUCGGGGUGGAGCGGCGGAUCCGACGCAAGGCGGGCCCUGGUGGCGGGUCCGGUCGCUCCGAGGCACAAAGGCGACGAGGCGGCUGACUGGGCGCCCGCGAGCGCUCCGCUCUGUGCCGGCCGCAGGAAACCGCGCAAUUAGCGGACGUCUUGCUCCGCGAGAGGCUGGGCUCCCAGGCGGACCGCCGCCUACCUGCCCCCGGCUUCUCCCCCCCCAGCCGGGGAGCCGGGGAGCCAGUUGGAGACCCGGAAUGGAGGUCCCUGGGAGAGACGGAGGGGUGCCUUCGUCCAGGGCGCAGGGGGGCCGAGAUGAGCGGCCCUCUCCGCCAGCAGCAGCAGAAUCUACAGUUCAUAAUGGAGCUUCUGUACUGGCUAUCGGAAGGAGGAGAUUCGGAAGAUAGGGAGAUUUGGAUAUCAGGCUUUGAAACUUCCUGUGGUCUGUUCAAUCUAGACACAAAGGACCUGGGACAAUCAAGUGCUCAAGAGGAAAUGAAGUUUUUCUUCUGGAUACACCAGAUCUUUGAUGAUGCCAGUAAAGAAACAUUCACACCCUUUGGUUAAAAGAUGAAGCAUGAGGCUGUGGUUAUUUUAAUCAGUUAUUCCAUGGAAGGUUGAAAGCUGCUAAGCAGAAUGAAUCUUACGACAGAGAGCAGUAGAGCUCAAGAAGGUGGUUGAGGAUCUCACCAGUUUGGAUGAGGAAAUAACUUUGGUGAGCAUCAUCUCAAGUAGCCAUGCUAUGGCCUUCUUUCAUUGAUCAUCAAGCAAGAAUCCUCAGCAGGAACUUUCUUCCUGACAGUUCCCUCCGCCUGGAAAUCUUUUCCCAGAUGGUCACAUAACUGCUGUGUUCAGUUUCUUCUGGCCUGAAAUCAAGAGGCACCUUCUCCAAGAGGCCUGCCCCAACCCCAGAUCCCAAAGAACCCCUUAUCUGAGGUGUAUUCUGGCAUCUCUUUUAUUUUCUCUUUAGCACAUAGUACUUUGUGUUAAGAACCCUAGAGUUCCAGGGUUUGGUGAGAAUAGAUUUUAAAAAUAUGUCGAUAGGCCAAUAUUGUGUCAUUUUUAAAUUGCCACCAUCUGCUUUAAGAUGAAUCUUUAAGGAAUCUCCGUAGCAUAAAGUAUUCUGAGGGCUUACGAUACAUUCCCUGUCUUUUUAAGGACCCAGGUCAUUACUGAGGAUGACAUACAAAUAUGAGGCUGGGUCAAAUGCCUAUAUGUGGUCAACUUACAGGUUUUAAAUAACUUGUAUGUGUAAUC
This is an RNA transcript of Canis lupus familiaris (dog), 1374 nucleotides long. RefSeq lists it as uncharacterized. Lineage: Eukaryota; Metazoa; Chordata; Mammalia; Carnivora; Canidae. The record is from RefSeq and is a predicted model, not a curated record. The transcript has 5 exons.